CCUGGGAAAAAUGGGCCGCCUCCUCAAAUGGGUGUUUUCCAAGUGGCUUCCCGCUCACUCUGGGUUCCCAGCCCUUUUCAUUCAUUCAGACGUUCGUUGGACGCCUCCUUUAUGCUAACGUCGGCGCUAGGGUGGAGAUAAUUCUGAAGCCUCACUAAGCCUUAGAGGUUUAACCACAGUGGACAACGUGCAUUUGGUGCAGGGGAUACCCACACCCAAACGGCUAGGAUUGCCUCCUGCCUCCUCCACAUCGGAUCCAGCUUCCUGCUGAUGCGGACUCUGAGAGGUGACACCAGCACAACUGGAUGCACCAAGAAGCAAAAGAGAAGAGAGCAGAAUUAAUGAUGCCCUGGGUGAAGGAAGAAGAGUGGCAGGAGACAGCCUUGAGGGAAGCUGACUUAUU
Ochotona princeps (American pika) is the source of this 403-nucleotide long non-coding RNA. RefSeq lists it as uncharacterized. The record is from RefSeq and is a predicted model, not a curated record. The transcript has 3 exons. Lineage: Eukaryota; Metazoa; Chordata; Mammalia; Lagomorpha; Ochotonidae.